RNAcentral lists this ribosomal RNA (460 nucleotides) under uncultured bacterium. RNAcentral describes it as "partial 16S ribosomal RNA". It matches the Rfam family "Bacterial small subunit ribosomal RNA", at positions 338 to 795 of the family's 1533-position model. The record is from RNAcentral.
CCUACGGGAGGCAGCAGUGAGGAAUAUUGGUCAAUGGACGAGAGUCUGAACCAGCCAAGUAGCGUGAAGGAUGACUGCCCUAUGGGUUGUAAACUUCUUUUAUAAAGGAAUAAAACGAGGCACGUGUGCCUUUUUGCUUGUACUUUAUGAAUAAGGAUCGGCUCACUCCGUGCCAGCAGCCGCGGUAAUACGGAGGAUCCGAGCGUUAUACGGAUUUAUUGGGUUUAAAGGGAGCGUAGAUGGGUUGUUAAGUCAGUUGUGAAAGUUUGCGGCUCAACCGUAAAAUUGCAAUUGAUACUGGCAGUCUUGAGUACAGUUGAGGUAGGCGGAAUUCGUGGUGUAGCAGUGAAAUGCUUAGAUAUCACGAAGAACCCCGAUUGCGAAGGCAGCUUACUAAACUGUGACUGACAUUGAUGCUCGAAAGUGUGGGUAUCAAACAGGAUUAGAUACCCGAGUAGUC